RNAcentral lists this unclassified non-coding RNA (331 nucleotides) under soil metagenome. Its description in RNAcentral is "partial contains 5.8S ribosomal RNA, internal transcribed spacer 2, and large subunit ribosomal RNA". The stretch from base 1 to 120 matches the Rfam family "5.8S ribosomal RNA", at positions 35 to 154 of the family's 154-position model. The record is from RNAcentral.
GAUGAAGAACGUAGCGAAAUGCGAUAAGUAAUGUGAAUUGCAGAAUUCAGUGAAUCAUCGAAUCUUUGAACGCACAUUGCGCCCGCCAGUAUUCUGGCGGGCAUGCCUGUUCGAGCGUCAUUUCAACCAUCAAGCCCCAGGCUUGUGUUGGGGUCCUGCGGCUGCCGCAGGCCCUGAAAAACAGUGGCGGGCUCGCUGUCACACCGAGCGUAGUAAUACAUCUCGCUUUGGACGUGCGGCGGGUUCUUGCCGUUAAACACCCCCCUUCUCAAGGUUGACCUCGGAUCAGGUAGGAAUACCCGCUGAACUUAAGCAUAUCAAUAGCGGAGGA